GACGAACGCUGGCGGCGUGCUUAACACAUGCAAGUCGAACGAUGAAGCCGGAGCUUGCUCCGGUGGAUUAGUGGCGAACGGGUGAGUAACACGUGAGCAAUCUGCCCUUGCCUCUGGGAUAACUGCGGGAAACUGUAGCUAAUACCGGAUACGACACCUUGGGGCAUCCGAGGGUGUGGAAAGAAUUUCGGUCAAGGAUGAGCUCGCGGCCUAUCAGAUUGUUGGUGAGGUAAUGGCUCACCAAGGCGACGACGGGUAGCCGGCCUGAGAGGGUGACCGGCCACACUGGAACUGAGACACGGACCAGACUCCUACGGGAGGCAGCAGUGGGGAAUAUUGCACAAUGGGCGAAAGCCUGAUGCAGCAAAGCCGCGUGAGGUAUGAAGGCCUUCGGGUUGUAAACCUCUUUUAGCAGGGAAGAAGCGAAAGUGACGGUACCUGCAGAAAAAGCACCGGCUAACUACGUGCCAGCCGCCGCGGUAA
This 483-nucleotide ribosomal RNA is filed under the name uncultured bacterium. RNAcentral's name for it is "partial 16S ribosomal RNA". It matches the Rfam family "Bacterial small subunit ribosomal RNA", at positions 28 to 523 of the family's 1533-position model. The record is from RNAcentral.